UCUUAAACACGUUCCUUGCCUCCCCGGGCCCGGCUGACCCAGACAGGAGGCUGAAUAAUCCGUAAGGAGCAAAUCGAUG
This 79-nucleotide non-coding RNA is filed under the name insect gut metagenome. RNAcentral describes it as "RpsF leader". It matches the Rfam family "RpsF leader". From Rfam's summary of the family: Conserved and widely distributed to many bacterial species RNA structure. It precedes operon containing rpsF, which encodes ribosomal protein S6. The record is from RNAcentral.